GCCGGGCAGCCGGUUUAUUUUUAAUGAACCCAUCGCAACCGGGCGCUGUAGUGGGAGGAGCCAGAGGGGCGCCACUACCGAACGACCCAUCGAAGGAGGAGAUGUGUCAGUUGAAGAGAGAUGUGUGAGAAAUCACAAGGCUCUGGUGACACACAUAUCUCCGAAACGCUCGAGUCAUCUGAGAAAUUCUCGGUUUUUCUGCCCACUGCUGUUGCGCUCAGAAAGGCGCACGGCUCCUUGGCUUUAACCACCCUUGCGUAAUGGCUGUGGCUCACACUACAAAGCUGUCUGCUUACCGCCCCGGCCAAGUGGUAGCUCUUCGGCAUAACGCAGGGAAUGGCAAGAGUUAGCCUGGAUUGGCUCUGCAAAAGAUACACAGAAGACUAAUCUCAAGAACCGAUUCUCUAAUUGCGUCUCUAUCGCCUACUGGUCGUCGGCGCCAUUGUGGUCCCCACCAUGGUGCAGAAGUACCAAUCCCCUGUGAGGGUGUACAAGUAUCCCUUUGAGCUGGUGAUGGCGGUAAGUGUCCCUAUACACACACACAGGCGCACACACUGCCAGGCGCACACACUGCCAGGCGCACACAAAGGCACAAAGGCAAGCACACACACACACACACACACACGCACGCGUGCAUGUGUGCGCACGCACGCACGCAGGCGCAAGCACGAACACACACACACACGUGCGCAAGCAUACACACACGUGCGCAAGCACACACACACACGCGCACACACACACACACACACACACACACACACACACACACACACACACACACACACACACACACACACACACACACACACACACACACACACACACACACACACACACACACACACACACACACACACACACACACACACACACACACACACACACACACACACAGAGAGAGAGACACACAGCGGUGUGUGUGAUGCAGACUUAUGCAGUCGGGGUGGGCGUGUUCCAGAUCCCCUUACCCAGAUGGCUAUUUCAGUGGUUGCUCGUUAGGCACCUUGGGGUCAACACGGCAGGGGCCUUAAGGAAGCCAUUCCUCAGUAGUAUUACUUUCACACCUAUUCUGCACUCUUUCUCUGUAUUCUGAGUCUGAUUGAUGGUAACUCAUUAUGCUAAACCCUGCUUCUCUCCAUUGGCUACUAUAUGCACCACUCAAGUGAUGGUAGGGA
Long non-coding RNA from Gadus macrocephalus (Pacific cod), 1175 nucleotides. RefSeq lists it as uncharacterized. The transcript is spliced from 2 exons. The record is from RefSeq and is a predicted model, not a curated record. Lineage: Eukaryota; Metazoa; Chordata; Actinopteri; Gadiformes; Gadidae.